Long non-coding RNA from Strongylocentrotus purpuratus (purple sea urchin), 294 nucleotides. RefSeq lists it as uncharacterized. The record is from RefSeq and is a predicted model, not a curated record. The transcript has 3 exons. Lineage: Eukaryota; Metazoa; Echinodermata; Echinoidea; Camarodonta; Strongylocentrotidae.
GGGGAGAGGUGUAAGUGGAAGACGAGACACCUCUCCCGCGUGUGCUACCAGCAUCGAGAUGUUUACACGGCGGAAGAGAUACUCAAAAUGGUAAACAGAAGGCGGCCGAGGUGUCAGGCUUUGACCCUUAAAGGGCUGCAGUGUAGCCGUGAUGCUACGAGGCAGUAUGUUAUUCAAUACUGCACCCAACACUAUUAAGUAGAAUAUGAGGGACCUAUUGAAGCAUAGCUGAGGAAUAGAAAGAGUCCCUCAGGAAUAGCAGGAAGGCUAGGUGAGAAAGUGCGUCGUUAUCGA